CGACCGCUGGCGGCGUGCUUAACACAUGCACAUCGACCGGAAAGGCCCUGCUUUUGUGGGGUGCUCGAGUGGCGAACGGGUGAGUAACACGUGAGUAACCUGCCCUUGACUUUGGGAUAACUUCAGGAAACUGGGGCUAAUACCGGAUAGGAGCUCCUGCUGCAUGGUGGGGGUUGGAAAGUUUCGGCGGUUGGGGAUGGACUCGCGGCUUAUCAGCUUGUUGGUGGGGUAGUGGCUUACCAAGGCUUUGACGGGUAGCCGGCCUGAGAGGGUGACCGGCCACAUUGGGACUGAGAUACGGCCCAGACUCCUACGGGAGGCAGCAGUGGGGAAUAUUGCACAAUGGGCGGAAGCCUGAUGCAGCAACGCCGCGUGCGGGAUGACGGCCUUCGGGUUGUAAACCGCUUUCGCCUGUGACGAAGCGUGAGUGACGGUAAUGGGUAAAGAAGCACCGGCUAACUACGUG
Molecule: ribosomal RNA, 466 nt
Filed under: uncultured bacterium
Lineage: Bacteria
Description: partial 16S ribosomal RNA
Rfam family: Bacterial small subunit ribosomal RNA
Source: RNAcentral